UACGUAGGGGGCUAGCGUUAUCCGGAAUUACUGGGCGUAAAGGGUGCGUAGGUGGUUUCUUAAGUCAGAGGUGAAAGGCUACGGCUCAACCGUAGUAAGCCUUUGAAACUGGGAAACUUGAGUGCAGGAGAGGAGAGUGGAAUUCCUAGUGUAGCGGUGAAAUGCGUAGAUAUUAGGAGGAACACCAGUUGCGAAGGCGGCUCUCUGGACUGUAACUGACGCUGAGGAGCGAAAGCGUGGGGAGCGAACAGG
This 252-nucleotide ribosomal RNA is filed under the name uncultured bacterium. RNAcentral's name for it is "partial 16S ribosomal RNA". It matches the Rfam family "Bacterial small subunit ribosomal RNA", at positions 524 to 776 of the family's 1533-position model. The record is from RNAcentral.